ACAACAACAUUUAGUCAGAGGGGUCAGACAUUCCACCGUGACCUGAGACUUCCUGGAGGAGACAACAACAUUUAGUCAGAGGGGUCAGACAUUCCACCGUGACCUGAGACUUCCUGGAGGAGACAACAACAUUUAGUCAGAGGGGUCAGACAUUCCACCGUGACCUGAGACUUCCUGGAGGAGACAACAACAUUUAGUCAGAGGGGUCAGACAUUCCACCGUGACCUGAGACUUCCUGGAGGAGACAACAACAUUUAGUCAGAGGGGUCAGACAUUCCACCGUGACCUGAGACUUCCUGGAGGAGACAACAACAUUUAGU
Molecule: long non-coding RNA, 320 nt
Organism: Oncorhynchus keta (chum salmon)
Lineage: Eukaryota; Metazoa; Chordata; Actinopteri; Salmoniformes; Salmonidae
Exons: 3
Source: RefSeq, a predicted model, not a curated record